Molecule: transfer RNA, 64 nt
Filed under: Perumytilus purpuratus
Lineage: Eukaryota; Metazoa; Mollusca; Bivalvia; Mytilida; Mytilidae
Description: tRNA-Gly
Source: RNAcentral
GCAUUUGUAGUAAAAUUGAUUAUUUUUGCCUUCCAAGCGAAAGUUCCAGUAAUUGGUAAAUGUU